AACGAACGCUGGCGGCGCGUCUUAACCAUGCAAGUCGAGCGGCAGGCAGCAAUGCCGAGAGCGGCGGACUGGUGAGUAACACGUGGAUAACGUACCCCGAUGUCCGGGACAGCCUGUAGAAAUAGAGGGUAAUACCGGAUAGAUCACUGUUUACGUGAGGUAGACAGCGGGAAAGGAGCUUCGGCUCCGCGACGGGAUCGGUCUGCGGCCCAUCAGCUGGACGGCGGGGUAAAGGCCCGCCGUGGCGAGGACGGGUAUCCGGCCUGAGAGGGCGGACGGACACAUUGGGACUGGGAUACGGCCCAGACUCCUACGGGAGGCAGCAGGUAAGAAUAUUCCGCAAUGGGGGGAACCCUGACGGAGCGACGCCGCGUGAACGAAGAAGGCCGGGAGGUUGUAAAGUUCUUUUCUGUCCGAGGAAUAAGUUUCGGAGGAAAUGCCGGGACGGUGACGGUAGGGCAGGAAUAAGCACCGGCUAAUUACGUG
Molecule: ribosomal RNA, 486 nt
Filed under: uncultured bacterium
Lineage: Bacteria
Description: partial 16S ribosomal RNA
Rfam family: Bacterial small subunit ribosomal RNA
Source: RNAcentral